AACGAACGCUGGCGGCAUGCCUAACACAUGCAAGUCGAACGAGACCUUCGGGUCUAGUGGCGCACGGGUGCGUAACGCGUGGGAACCUGCCCUUAGGUUCGGAAUAACUCCCCGAAAGGGGUGCUAAUACCGGAUAAUGUCUUCGGACCAAAGAUUUAUCGCCUUUGGAUGGGCCCGCGUUGGAUUAGCUAGUUGGUAGGGUAAAAGCCUACCAAGGCGACGAUCCAUAGCUGGUCUGAGAGGAUGAUCAGCCACACUGGGACUGAGACACGGCCCAGACUCCUACGGGAGGCAGCAGUGGGGAAUAUUGGACAAUGGGCGAAAGCCUGAUCCAGCAAUGCCGCGUGAGUGAUGAAGGCCUUAGGGUUGUAAAGCUCUUUUACCCGGGAUGAUAAUGACAGUACCGGGAGAUUAAGCUCCGGCUAACUCCGUG
This 433-nucleotide ribosomal RNA is filed under the name uncultured bacterium. RNAcentral describes it as "partial 16S ribosomal RNA". It matches the Rfam family "Bacterial small subunit ribosomal RNA", at positions 29 to 507 of the family's 1533-position model. The record is from RNAcentral.